Molecule: small RNA, 132 nt
Filed under: Klebsiella pneumoniae
Lineage: Bacteria; Pseudomonadati; Pseudomonadota; Gammaproteobacteria; Enterobacterales; Enterobacteriaceae
Description: RtT sRNA
Rfam family: RtT RNA
About the family: This family represents a bacterial cis-regulatory element known as RtT RNA.
Source: RNAcentral
UAUUCUGCCCUACAGGGAAGGAUGAGAAGCUUCGACUAAGGUUCGACUCGAGCGAAGCGAGAGAACGUUGCCACAGGCAACGGCCCGAAGGGCGAGGCGCUUUAGCGCCGAGUAAUCCUUCCCCCACCACCA